CAGCAGCCGCGGUAAUACGUAGGUCCCGAGCGUUGUCCGGAUUUAUUGGGCGUAAAGCGAGCGCAGGCGGUUAGAUAAGUCUGCAGUUAAAGGCUGUGGCUUAACCAUAGUACGCUUUGGAAACUGUUUAACUUGAGUGCAAGAGGGGAGAGUGGAAUUCCAUGUGUAGCGGUGAAAUGCGUAGAUAUAUGGAGGAACACCGGUGGCGAAAGCGGCUCUCUGGCUUGUAACUGACGCUGAGGCUCGAAAGCGUGGGGAGCAAACAGGAUUAGAUACCCCGGUAGUCCCUGUCUCUUAUACA
Molecule: ribosomal RNA, 301 nt
Filed under: uncultured bacterium
Lineage: Bacteria
Description: partial 16S ribosomal RNA
Rfam family: Bacterial small subunit ribosomal RNA
Source: RNAcentral